GUUCAGAGCCUGGAAAUCUUAAUUCUAAACCAAAAAAAAUCUUUCUUUAUUAUUCGUUACCUUUUAUGCCUUUUACUUGAAUUUAUUUAUUUAUUUACAAUAUUUUUACCCUGCCUUUCUCCACAGUAGAUCCGAGGCGGCUUACAACAUACAAUGCAAAAGUUUAAAACAUAUUUAAAAUCACAAAUACUAUAUAUAUACUGGGAGCCCCCGGUGGUGCAGAGGAUUAAACGGCUGAGCUGUUGAACUUUCAGUUAUGCCGGCCACAUGACCUUGGAGGCGUCUACAGUCAACGCCAGCUUUACGGCUUAGAAAUAGAGAUGAGCAUCAACCCUCAGAUUGGGACACAACUAGACCCAAUACCAGGUUGAGAAUACACUCAGUUUGGCUGGACAAAAAGAAGCUGCUGGCUCAUACUCCAUUUCCUCUUCUUCAUUCAGAUUUCCAGAGUUUUAGUGCAAGCUAUAAUUUCUCAAUUGUAAUUUAUGAUUUCAACAAAAUGUACCAGGGUUGGAAACCAUCAAUUCCCCAGUUCAGAUGUAAUGUCAAACUAUGAUUUGCAACAAAAUUAGAAGUCAAGGAAAAUGCAAGAAAAGAAGCCAUACUAAUGGCUCAUUCAUGCAACAUCGAAGCUUGGUUUAGAAUUGUACCUGAACAAACCCAUAAGAUACUCCAAGAAACAGUUCCACCACUGAAAUAUGCACUAAUUUUAAAGAUAUAUUCACACUGGAAUCUGAAGAAUAGACACAUACUAUUUUCCUGGUAUGAGUAUUUUCUCAAAAAGAAAUGUUAAAGACUCCAAAUUUCUAUUUACUUUGUCAACAGACCUGAGAGAUAGAAAUUACAUAACACAAUCUAAUUGGCAGAUUGAUCUCGAACACCACAAGAUCCUGCAUUAGAUUAGGAAGUAACGCAGGCACCACAUAGUUUCUUGUUACUCUUGCGCUGUUCCAAUCCAAUGUGAAAUUUCAUCCGGAUACAGAAUUAUCCAUAUCAUACCUUUCAUUUAGACUUUCAGCCAAUAUUUAGAAUUGUCAGUUAUUCAAAUAAAAGGGGAAAAAAUCACAUUUGCCACUACUAGAACAGCAGUGAUAAUUCCUAUGUGGAGACACUGAACACUGUUCCGGGAAAUAAAGUUGGUUCUGUAUUAAACUGGAUACUGUUGGGAGUCUCCUUUGAUUACACUAUUACACUCUUUGGUCACACAAAGGAUCCAGCUUUACCUCCUGUACAAGAACAAGCCCAUAUUUCAGAGCUAAUUCUUCUGCUCUGCUUUCUUCCAAAAGUAAUUCAUGAUAUUCUGUGAAAAUACUUCUCAAGAGUUACAACUGAAGUUUCUUAGCUUGCCACCCCACCAUUUACCAAUGUCUGAUGUGCUCUUGCUUCAUCUCAACAAUGUAUUUACAUUUCAGGCCUUCUAUUUUCUUCCACUCACUUUUGGGAAUCAUUCAUUUCUGGGAAAAUAGCUGUUACCAGUCCUCAGCUAUUACAUUUUCUUUCUAGUAUUUUCAAUAUAUGUGCAUUGUUUUCUAAAUGUGCACACAUUAUCACAGCUGUAUUAGGUUUGUAUGUUGACUGCCGUGUACUUGCUUUGAAUUUUGUAUACCAUGCUGUGUUCCCCUUCUCUGUAUACAUCAUGCUGUGUUUCAGAUUAACUAGAUAAAAUAGAAGGUUUUGCAUGUAUCUCACCUUUCCUUUCCUUGGCAAACUAUUUAAUGAAACUUUUCAGCAAGUUUCCAUUAUGUUACACCUUUGCAGCAUCAGAACACAAUAAGCACAGGCGGCCUAUUAUUAGAGACAAAGGGCAUAAGGAAGAAAUUGAACUGCACCAUCAUUACAUCAACUAUAAUGCAACAGAAGGAUCUGAAGUGAAGUUGUUCUCUCAACAUGGUGUUUUAUAUUGCAAACUCAGGUUCUAAACCAGUCUUCAAACCCAGGAAAAUUUUGAUAUUCAAAAUCUGAAUGGUACAGCAGCCCAGCCUCUCAAUUCAUAUAGACAUGAUUGUAUAGAACAGGGCAGGAAACACACACACACUUCCUAUUGUUAACAAAGUUUAGGUGACUUAGGUGAAAAAAAGCACAAGAUUAAUCUCACUGAGAGCUUAACUAAUGAAACACUGCUGUUAUCUGAAUAAAUAUUUGAAAGACUAGAUGUUGCUUUUCAGUUCUACACAGCUGCCAAAAGAGACCCGUUAUUUAGAGUUCAAUGCAUUCCUUAGUCCCAUAAAACUGUUAAAGAGCAGGAAAGUCAGAUUUUGAAGUUUUAAAAUGUACCCUUAAAAGUGACAGCUAUGUAAGCUUUCAUUCUUUGAUAAACGUUUUCCAUGAAGUCCAAACUCAAUUAAGGAUGUUUUCAUUUUAAGUUUUUAUUAUUUAAAUACACCAUACUAGAGCAAAUGUCUCUGAAAGUAUCACAAAUAAAA
Long non-coding RNA from Anolis carolinensis (green anole), 2423 nucleotides. RefSeq lists it as uncharacterized. The transcript has 2 exons. The record is from RefSeq and is a predicted model, not a curated record. NCBI's taxonomy places the organism in Eukaryota, Metazoa, Chordata, Lepidosauria, Squamata, Anolidae.